GGUAUGAAUGGCUAAACGAGAAAUAGACUUUUUUUACUAUAAAAAUUGAACUUAAUUUUUCAGUGAAAAAGCUGAAAUUGUUUAGAAAGACGAGAAGACCCUAUAGAGUUUUAUAUUUAGAACUUAUUACUUAUAAUUGAUUUUUUUUAAGUUAUAAUUUUUAUAUAUUUUGUUGGGGCGACAUUAAGAUAAAAAAAACUCUUUAUUUUUUAGAUUUUUAUAAAAAUUAUUCUGAUCCUCUAUAAGAGAUCAAAAGAAAAAAUUACCUUAGGGAUAACAGCGUAAUCUUUUUUGAGAGUUCUAAUCGACAAAAAGGUUUGCGACCU
RNAcentral lists this ribosomal RNA (326 nucleotides) under Acasta sp. 1 MCY-2020. RNAcentral's name for it is "partial large subunit ribosomal RNA". The record is from RNAcentral. Lineage: Eukaryota; Metazoa; Arthropoda; Thecostraca; Balanomorpha; Balanidae.